CUAGCUGCACAUUAGGAGCACUUGUGGAGAUUUUUAAGAAGAGAUGACUGGGUCCCACCCUCAGGGACUUUGUUGUGUUCUGGGGUUUUUUGUUGUUGUUUUGUUUUUUUUUUUUAGCUCCAACAGGGAAUCUGAUGCUACAGAGACCGGAAAAGGCUGGUGUGGGACAUGGAGAAAGUUCAUAAACAGAGACUUGAAAGCAGGACUCCACAGAACAAACUUCACAGGUAAAGGGCUGCUGACCCAUAAAGAAGGCUCUGUGAUAGCUUCAUACUGAGGAAUAUGGUUUCCAUAUCAAGACCCUGGGCUAUAAACAGUUUGUGAUAUAUUUUUAUGUAAUUGUUAAUUGUUUAAUAUAGCAUUCCAGUUGAGCCAAAGUCAGCAUAGCUCAGAAUACAAGCUAUCAUCGACCAUGCUCUUCGCCGCAAAGAGACACCGUGCUCCUGGAAACUCAUAGAGGGAACUAUUUAGCCGAGACUAGCCUACAGUUUCAGAGGUUUAGCCCACUGUUUUCGAGACAGGAAGCCUGGCAGCAUGCAGGCGGACACAGUGCUAGAGAGGUAGCUGAGAGUUCUACAUCAGGAACAGCAAGCAGCAGGAAUGUGAUGCCCCCUUCUUCCCCAGGGCUGUUGCCCACCAGCCAGCAAGCACGAAGGAAGCAGAAGUGGGGUGGGGGUGGGGUAGGGCUCGAACAGCUGGGACUGACUUCCAGGAUCAACUUCAAUGAGACAGUUCCACUUUAUUGGGGAUGAACAAGGUUUAUAUAGAUCUUGAGGAGUGGGUAGGUAGGGUGGGAAUACUUCUUUUGCAUGAAGAAGAAUUCCAAGAACCUGCCAGGCAUGUUCAGGUUCAAUGGAAGUGGGGAAGGGGGAGUGUUUAACCUAUAAUCUGGCCAUAGACUAUGUGACUGUGCUCAGAGGUUUUGGGGGGGGGGGGGUUACAGGUGGGAAGUGCUGUACCUCGUUAUCAUUCACAGUAAGGGCUGAGCAGGACCUCGGAGCUGAAUGGAGUAGCAUUUACAGGAAGCUCUGUGCAGGGUCAUCCUCCAGAUAAGGUAGGGCACCUGUGCCUAGAGACAGUCUCUAGAUAAGAUCAGACAGAGAGGAGGAAACCCCGCUGAGAACGGGAGUCCUCCAUUUUGCACCAGGCUGGGAGAGCUUAUCUGGUCACGAUAGACUUUGACCUUAAUAGCAGGGUCUUCCAACACAGGAAGAGAGAGAGAUUGGUCCUGGCUUGAGCAUUUGAAACCUCAAAGUCUACUCCCCAAGCCCUGACCCCAUGACACCCCUCUCCAACAAGACCACAUGUACUCCAACUCACACGUCCUAAUUCUUCAAAUAGUUCACUCCCUGUGAGCCUGUGGGGGCCGUUCUCAUUCAAAUUACCACACAGUCCUUGCAUCAGAAGCAACUGCAUUGCCCAGGAGCUUGUCAGAGAUGCUGGGCCUCCAGCCCAGGCUUGAGUGCUAUAGUGGCUAUUCCUGGUUGUCAACUUGACUAUAUCUGGAAUAAACUACAAUCCAAAAUUGGAAGGCUCACCUGUGAUCCUAAUCUGGAGGCUGGGAGAUACAAGUUUCUGACCUGGAUCUUGGCAUGGAGAUCUUGAGGCAUAGUGGCUAUGAAUCCCAGAAGAUUAAGACAGGGAGAUCUCUGAGUUCAAGGUCAUCUGGGACAAAGCAAGUCCCAGAUCCGGGCAUGGUGGCACACACCUUUAAUCUGGGACGCGCCUUCUGCUGGAGACCUACAUGAGGACACUGCAAGAAGGAAGAUUUACUCUCUCUCUCUCUUUUUCGCCUGCUUGAGUUGUGGGACUGAGCAACUGCUAGAUCCUUGGACUCCCAUUCACAGCUGCUGCUGACCAUUGUUGAGAGUUGGACUACAGACUGUAAGUCAUCAACAAAUUCCCUUACCAUAUAGAGACUACCCAUAAGUUGUGUGACUCUUGAGAAACCUAAAACAAAUGCUCUCCACAAACUGGUGGCAAGAUCCUAUUGCUGAGGUCAACAUCUACACAACUCGUGAAACAUUGACAAGUCAAGCCAGUGCCUGCCUAUACAUAGCCUCACGCCUACUGACUAGGAGUGUCCCUGGUAUGGAACAGGACUCUGCACACUAUCAGAGAAAGGUAAACACUAAUCUAGGUACAAACCCUUUGAUCCUCAAUGGUGACCUGCCUGCAUGACACAUUGGUGACACUAAAUUUGUGGAAGUGACGAACCACUCUCUGAUUGGAUUGAAGGUCCCCUUCAUGAGAUGGAACCCAUGCCUGACACUGCUCAGGUGAUCAAGAACCUGACACUGCCUAGGCCAUGAGCCUAGGGGAAAACUAAAUACUAUUGUUCUGCUAAAGUCCUCUCACUGUCCAUCAUAAGGUCCAGAGAGUUUCCAGGUAUGAUAUCCAGAGAUUUCAGAAGCAGGGAGGUGUUUUAAUAAUAAUAAUAAACAACCAAAAACAUAUCCUGUCUUCGCCAUAUCAAUCGCACCCAGGUCACGGCCUGAGGAUGUUCUCAAGAGGAAAAAUCCUGCUAAUUAGAAGGAGUGAUCAGACACAACCCUCACUACUCCCAGUGCAGUAAUAGAAUACCUACCAGUGAUUCUCAGCCUCACCUGCUGUGGUUUGAUUGUGUCCCUGGGAAGUGGCACUAUUAGGAGCUGUGGCCUUGUUGGGAGGAGGACAUGCAUCACUACUGAAGUCCUAUGCUCAAGCUCAACCAAGUGCCCCCGCCCCAUAGCUUCCUUGCAGAAGAAAAUCUCCACCUGUCUGCCUUCGGAUGAAGAUGUAGAACUCUCAUCUCCUCCAGCACCAUGCCUGUCUGGAUCUUGCCAUGCUUCUGCUUUGAUGAUAAUGGACUGAACAUCUGAAACUGUAAGCCAGCCCCAAUGAAAUGUUGUCCUUUAUAGGAGUUGCCUUGGUCAUGGUGUCCAUUCACAGCAAUGAAACCCUAACUAAGGCACCUUCAGACCAGAAUCACCUUGAUCAAUGGGUCCCACCCCUCAUGAGUGUCUGGUUUGGUUGAUCUGGGGAUGAUGCCAUAGAAUAACCAACCACAUUCAGCUAAUUGUCGGCAUGUGGACAGUCUUGCCUUAUUUAUUCCCCUCAUGGUACCCCUCCUCUCCAAUAGGAGAUUUGAACUCAAGUUCCUUCCACAAUCUACUUCCAUCCAUACACUCUUCUGAGUGUAUCUCUAAACCAGAGGUUGGCAGGAUCGGCCCCAGGAUUUUUUUGUUGUUGUUUGUUUGAGGAAAUAAUAUAACUUUAAGGGUCCAAGAAUCACUGAAAGAAGUCACGCUCAAAUCGUAUCCAAAAGCAAAGAGUGUUUGUCCUUCAGAAACAGCCAGCAUGUGAGAGCUGGGGGGAGAGGGGGAUCAGCCAUUCCUACAAAAUGGCGACCGGAGAUGAGCUCAUAGGCUCCUUUUAAUCGCAGCUAGGGGGAUUUAGGGAAUGGUUAGGUCAUUUUUAGUAUGAUUGGCUAGGUAAGCAGCAGUUACAUUAGUACAUGUCUAAUUGGUUACUAUACUAGUUUUUUCAAUUUAUGUUCAGGCCUUAGAGAAAUUCUAGGACCUGUUUCAGUCCUUGAGCUAGCUAUCUCUCCAAUAGAUUUCAGGGCCAUUGCUGAUUCAUGGCUGAUUCAUUGUCUGUGGUUUUUCCAAGGAGCCUUACCUGCCUCUUUGGGAAAUUGAAUGGCCUAGUUAUAAAACAGAGCGAGUUUCAGUCAGACUGCUCAAUAACCACCUUUUGUAAGACAAGGUCUGUCAUGCCUGGAACUCAUCAGUGCAGCGAGUCUUAAUUUCUGCCCCAGUUGCUCUGUCAGGGGUAAGAUCGCUGACAGAGCAACUUAAGUGAGAAAGGGCUGAUCUGGCUCACAGUUUCAAGUUACAGGCCUUCCAGGCAGGGAAGUCACAGCUGCAGGUGAGAGAACUGACCACCUUACAUCCACAGUCAGGGACAGAAAGCGAUUAAUUAAUGCAUGCACACCACUGCUCAGCUCACUCUCCCUUGCAUUCGGCUGAGGACCCAGCUCAUGAAAGAGUUCCACCCAUGUUCUAUCCAAAUUCUACAAAAUGGGUGGUCCCACACCAACCUAAACAGUUCAUCCUUGAGACUUCCUUUGCUAGGUAAAAGUCUACAUUGUUUCAAGUCAAUAAUUAAAAGUAACCAUCAUGCGGGGCUGUGGUGGCGCAAACCUUUAAUCCUAGCACUUAGGAAGCAGAGGCAGGUGGAUUUCUGAGUUUGAGGCCAGCCUGGUCUACAGAGUGAGUUCCAGGACAGCCAGGGCUACACAGAGAAACCCUGUCUCUAAAAAAAAACAACAACAAAAAAAAUAGAUAGAUAGAUAGAUAGAUAGAUAGAUAGAUAGAUAGAUAGAUAGAUAGAUAAUGGAUUAGCAGGGAGUCAUCCAUCGUUUCAUAAUCCUUCAAAGUGAAUCCUAGCAUGAAGACGGUCUCUGGGUAGCAAAGCAGCCUGUGGCAUGCCGUUGUGAUACGUAAGCUCAAUAGAUUCCCUCUGUACUGGCUGGUUGUGUGUGUCAAGUUGACACAGCUGGAGUUAUCACGGAGAAAGGAGCCUCCCUUGAGGAAACGCCUCCUGAGAUCCAACUGUAAGGCAUUUUCUCAAUUAGUGAUCAAGGGUGGGAGAGCCAUCCCUAGGCAGAUGGUCCUGGGUUCUAUCAGAAAGCAAGCUGAGCAAGCCAUGGGAAGCAAGCCAGUAAGCACCACCCCUCUACGGCUUCUGCAUCAGCUCCUGCUUCCUGACCUGCUUGAGUUCCAGUCCUGACUUCCUUUGGUGAUGAACAGCAUUGUGUAAAUAUAAGCUGAAUAAACUCUUUCCUCCCAAA
Molecule: long non-coding RNA, 4834 nt
Filed under: Mus musculus (house mouse)
Lineage: Eukaryota; Metazoa; Chordata; Mammalia; Rodentia; Muridae
Description: long non-coding RNA chr10:126845915-126850749
Source: RNAcentral